UUUUGAGCAGAAGAGAGAGGGUUAUCCGCACCGUUGGGGAGAGCAUUGGAGUUAUAACAAAAAGCAGACAUGGCAUAGGGUUCGACAGGCUUCUCAUCCGGGCUCAGUGAAAACCAAUCUUUAAGACUCGCGGAGCAAGUACGAGCAGGUGAAGGACUAAGGCCAGAGGCAAGUUUCACAUGGUGAUCAAAAGAACCAGUCCCAGAAGGCGAAUCCCGAGAGGCAAACGAAUCAACCAUCUGAGUUCCUAACGAAGAUAAAUUCCAAGAGAAGUUAAUUGCAAAGUAACUUAAACAAACAGCUUAAGAAGUAAACAAAGAGUUAGCAAAAUACCAUUUUGCAAGUGUGAAUUAUUGUUCAAAAGAAAUAAAUAUAGUUGGUGCCUGUGAGAGAGUCAAACAGAAUCAACAGCUGCUAACCUGCAAUGCAGCUUGAAAGAUCAUAUUUUCUUUGUUUGACUGGAGCCUCGUGCCUCCAGGUUGAUUGAAAGUAUGACCACUUGGAGAAUACUGUGAAGAAACCACCGGGAUUUUCAUAGCUAGAGGUCGAUAUGGGUUUGCAGAUUGACCAUUAGUUUCUAUUAUGUAGACAUCAGAAUCAUCAUCACUGUCGGAUAUACUUUCUGGAGAAAGACUUUGAACUGAUUCAAAGCUCGCAUUUGAGAAAUUAUAAUCAACGCUCCUUGGUUGAAUAUGUUCUUGGUUUACUUGUGUCAGAGAGUCUACAUACCCAUUGAUCUGUGUCGCUGAGCUCGGAUCUGCGGCAACAUAUUGCAAACAUGCAUUUGAAUCAUAAAAGUUAUUGGAGUUGCCACUGUCUUGACUAGGGAAACCAGUUUGCUGUGCCAUAAAUGCGAAUCCUUCUUGAAAAUCUGUCUGAUAGGAGACUGAACAGCCAGAUGCACCAGACCACCAAUGACUGGUUUCCCCAGGUGCAUAAACAGGGUCAAUAAUGCUUUCUUCCUUUGGAACUGAACUGGAAACCAGUUUCUCUGACUCAGCCUCCGGCUUAACCUUCACAGGGGAAGCUUUAUUACCCUGAAAACUGCUUGAACAAUUAUCAGGCAAGUGACUGUCAAAACGAUUGUACGGUUUGGCAGAGGGAAGAGGAACUGAGGAAUUACUUUCACAAUUGAAACCGAUCCCUAUUGCACUAGAGAAACCAACAACAGGCUUCCUGUCUGAAGAUCCGUAGUCUACUCUCCCGUGUGUAUCAAAAACCAUCCGGCUGGCACCAUCCGACAGACACUCACUAACACCACUGUCAACAUCAUUCACAGCUUCUUCUUUAUUGGGAAAGAACUGAAAUGCGAAACUGGGGGUAUGUUCUGUUGUAUUGUAGCAAUUUUGAGCAGAAGAGAGAGGGUUAUCCGCACCGUUGGGGAGAGCAUUGGAGUUAUAACAAAAAGCAGACAUGGCAUAGGGUUCGACAGGCUUCUCAUCCGGGCUCAGUGAAAACCAAUCUUUAAGACUCGCGGAGCAAGUACGAGCAGGUGAAGGACUAAGGCCAGAGGCAAGUUUCACAUGGUGAUCAAAAGAACCAGUCCCAGAAGGCGAAUCCCGAGAGGCAAACGAAUCAACCAUCUGAGUUC
RNAcentral lists this long non-coding RNA (1591 nucleotides) under Brassica napus (rape). RNAcentral's name for it is "long non-coding RNA (BNAP_LNC000637)". The record is from RNAcentral. Lineage: Eukaryota; Viridiplantae; Streptophyta; Magnoliopsida; Brassicales; Brassicaceae.